Molecule: transfer RNA, 141 nt
Filed under: Candidatus Bathyarchaeota archaeon
Lineage: Archaea; Thermoproteati; Candidatus Bathyarchaeota
Also listed under: 1 other name
Description: tRNA-OTHER
Rfam family: tRNA
About the family: Transfer RNA (tRNA) molecules are approximately 80 nucleotides in length. Their secondary structure includes four short double-helical elements and three loops (D, anti-codon, and T loops).
Source: RNAcentral
AGCCCGGUGGUGUAGUGGUCUAGCAUAGCAUGGGCGUUUCGGGCCAGAUUCGCCUAUGGCGCUCCUAGUGGGCUCUGGAUCCCUCUCAUUUGGGGUAGGGGUUACCUGCUGACGGGAGUUCGAAUCUCCCCCGGGCUACCA